ACAGAAAACUAGGAAAUGAUAGACGUAUCAGUAGUAACUAUUUUAAAGAACAGUUAGGACAAUUUUUAACAAUGUGUUGCACAGGUGAAAAUUAAGAUGUUUGUGUAUUAUUUCUCAGACUAUCAAGGAAUACCAGGAUAGUACCAUGGGAAGGGGGAAUUAUUUUCUGCAAAAAAGCUUCAUUGAGAGAUUCAAUAAGAAUCUCAUGUUAUAUAAUACCAUUAGUUACAGGUCUUAAAUAUGCAAGAGAACAAUAAUGCACAAGUGAAGCCUACUGGACCUAGUAUCUUCACUGGACCACAACCUAGCAAGAGAGCCUUUAAAAGAAACUUAAAUUUAUUAUGUGUCAAUUUGAUUAGCACAUCAUACAACAUUAAAAGGAACCUCAGCCAUUUCCCCUUCAGGGAAACAUCAUUAAUUUUAUAACAAAAAUUUUGAGAAAAUACAAUUUAACAUUAAAUAACUUUUUAAAUAAGCAACUUAGUGUAGAUGUUCUAUACUAAUUAUUUUUUAU
Molecule: long non-coding RNA, 514 nt
Filed under: Bos taurus (domestic cattle)
Lineage: Eukaryota; Metazoa; Chordata; Mammalia; Artiodactyla; Bovidae
Description: long non-coding RNA NONBTAT018084
Source: RNAcentral